Molecule: ribosomal RNA, 497 nt
Filed under: uncultured bacterium
Lineage: Bacteria
Description: partial 16S ribosomal RNA
Rfam family: Bacterial small subunit ribosomal RNA
Source: RNAcentral
GAUGAACGCUGGCGGCGUGCCUAAUACAUGCAAGUCGAACGAACGGGCGAGCAGUUUCUUGCUCUGAUCGUAGCCGCGGACGGGUGAGUGACGAGUAGAUAACCUACCUAUAAGCCUCAGAUAACUUCUGAAACCCGGAGCCAAUGCCGGAUUAUAUUUUGAACCGCAUGGUUCAACAUUGGAUGGCGAUCUUGCUUUUACUUAUAGAUGGUUACGCGCUGCAUUAGCUACUUGGUAAGGUAACGGCUUACUACGGCAACGAUGGAUAGCCGACCUCAGAGUGUGAGCGUCCACACUGGCACUGAGACACGGUCCAGACUCCUACGGGAGGCAGCAGUAGGGGAUCUGCCGAAUUGAGCGUGAGCGUGACGGAGCAGCAGCGCGGGAGUGAUGAAGGUCUCCGGAUCGUAGUACUCUGUUACUAGGGAAGGACAUAUGUGUAAGUAACUGUGCACAUCUUGACGGUACUGGAAGAAGAAGCCACGGCUAACUACGUG